UCCUACGGGGGGCAGCAGUAGGGAAUUUUCGUCAAUGGGCGCAAGCCUGAACGAGCAAUGCCGCGUGAACGAGGAAGGUCUUCGGAUCGUAAAGUUCUGUUGAAGGGGAAAAAGAGCGGAGAGAGGAAAUGGUCUCCGAUUGAUAUUACCCUUCGAGGAAGUCACGGCUAGCUACGUGCCAGCAGCCGCGGUAAUACGUAGGUGGCGAGCGUUAUCCGGAAUGAUUGGGCGUAAAGGGUGCGUAGGCGGCCUGCUAAGUCUGGAGUGAAAGGUACCGGCUCAACCGGUACAGGCUCUGGAAACUG
This 305-nucleotide ribosomal RNA is filed under the name uncultured bacterium. RNAcentral's name for it is "bacterial SSU rRNA". It matches the Rfam family "Bacterial small subunit ribosomal RNA", at positions 337 to 635 of the family's 1533-position model. The record is from RNAcentral.